RNAcentral lists this transfer RNA (76 nucleotides) under Limosilactobacillus mucosae. RNAcentral's name for it is "Lactobacillus mucosae tRNA-Arg". It matches the Rfam family "tRNA". Rfam says of the family: Transfer RNA (tRNA) molecules are approximately 80 nucleotides in length. Lineage: Bacteria; Bacillati; Bacillota; Bacilli; Lactobacillales; Lactobacillaceae. The record is from RNAcentral.
UGGGGCAAUAGCUCAACUGGAUAGAGCAUUGGUCUUCUAAACCAAAGGUUGUGGGUUCGAUUCCCACUUGCCCCAU